This 1250-nucleotide long non-coding RNA is filed under the name Panax ginseng (ginseng). RNAcentral describes it as "long non-coding RNA (PGIN_LNC018003)". The record is from RNAcentral. Lineage: Eukaryota; Viridiplantae; Streptophyta; Magnoliopsida; Apiales; Araliaceae.
AGAGACAGAGCCACACUCCCUAACACGAGUGGACGUGUGGACAGACACAAGCAAGAUCUUUAGAAUAGAGCUACUAUAUAUCUCAACAGUGAUAAUGAAAUAUGUUAUAUGUCUAGCACCUCAACAGUAUUGUAGUUCCAGCUUUGUACAAGAUGCUUUCCUCAUCGUGAUAUAUUGAGACAUUCUCUUAUGCUGCAUUUGACAACAAUAUUACUUAUUUUCAUAAUACAUGCACGCUCUUAGACCAUAACUAGUAAACGUAAUAUGUCUGCCAAAAAGGUUGAAGAGGGUGGGGAUUCAUUGAUUGGCCAACAAUGCAACCCUUGAACAUCUAAUCAAUCAAAAAAUGGAAAUACUCAAAGUUUGUUUCCAUCAGAGAGCAUAGUUUCUGAACAAUCUUUUUCAAAAUAUUGGAGUUGGCACUAAUAAUUGAUUCCAUAGAGACCAUCCAAACUUAGCCUUAUUUGACACCCAUGAGAAAAAAACACUUGAUUGGGAAAAAAUGACGGCAAAUAUCAAAAGUUGUAGCAGAGAAGAGAUGGAAGCACCAGCCCGCAUCACCAAUGAACGGAGGGCCCAUGGAACAUUACCUCCCUGAUGCUAAUAUGCUUGCUCCCUGCUACAUUGAAAUGGUCUUGGACAUCCAUGCUCCAUUUCAUUUUUCCUCAGAAACCUUUUAAAACUUCAAAUCUCUGAAGUCUGGUUGAUAAACAAUUGUUUUUGUGUGGGAAAAACUCAACACCUAAUUUAGUUGGUGAUACGGUGGAAAAUAACGAGAAAGAUUUGGAUUUCCAUAUAUUUUAAUAUUUAUGGAACUUUAAUUUGUUUGAUGCAUUUUUAUUUAUUCGUUAGGAAAAUUUAGUAACUAAAUUUAUAUUUAGCCAGUUUAUGUUUUGGACUUUAGAUUUCUAAUAUUAUUUAGUUUAGAAUUUAAUUAUUUUUCUUUUCAAAUUAGUCGUAGGAAAGUAGUUUAGUAUUAGAAAUACGUUUUCUAGGGUUUAUUUACAUGGAACCGAUUAAGUUUAUUAUCUUUCUUCUCUUUGUGAGUUCAUUAUUCCUUAUGAACUCAAGAGUUUAUCUUACAUUCUUGUUGAUACGUUAAACCUUCAAAUCACGUUUGUGUUAAAGUGUUCCGCUGCGUCAGUUGGCUAGGUAGAUAGUGCCAUUGUGGGACGUCAAGAACAAACACACAAGAUAUGAACAAACUUAAUGAGUUUAUGUUCAACAAAAGAGAAGAGCUUAUAUAAUAC